Molecule: ribosomal RNA, 664 nt
Filed under: Apophysomyces trapeziformis
Lineage: Eukaryota; Fungi; Mucoromycota; Mucoromycetes; Mucorales; Mucoraceae
Description: eukaryotic LSU rRNA
Rfam family: Eukaryotic large subunit ribosomal RNA
Source: RNAcentral
GGAUUCCCUUAGUAACGGCGAGUGAACAGGGAACAAGCUCAAAGUUGGAAUCUAUCUGGCUUAGCCAGAUCGAAUUGUAAACUUUAGAGUCGUUGUCCAGACCAGCCGAGUAAAUAAGUUCCUUGGAAUAGGACAUCAUGGAGGGUGAGAAUCCCGUCUUUGGCUUGAGCAUUGGUCUUUUGUGAUGCGACUUCAACGAGUCAGGUUGUUUGGGAAUGCAGCCUUAAUUGGGUGGUAAAUCUCACCUAAAGCUAAAUAUUGGCGAGAGACCGAUAGCGAACAAGUACCGUGAGGGAAAGAUGAAAAGAACUUUGAAAAGAGAGUUAAACAGUAUGUGAAAUUGCUAAAAGGGAACCGUUUGAAGUCAGUCUGGCUGGUCUGCAAUCAGCUUCAAUCUUGGUUGGAGUGCACUUGUAGGCCAUUUUUUGCCUGCCAACAACAGUUUGUUCUGCAGCAAAAAGGUGUUGAGAAUGUGGCUUUCUCUUCGGAGGAAGUGUUAUAGCUCUUCGCGAAAUACUGUGGUUCAGACUGAGGCUUGCAGUGAAUGCUAUUUGGGCUUUGGGGAUGGAUUGCUCAGUGCUUUGCUUGGUUAGUUUCGGCCGUCAAACGUCGUGCUGGCCAAGUGAAGUCUGACUCGGUUCAUUCACUUUUAAUUCACUUUGGU